UAAACUUUGGCCUUUCUUUACAAAUUUUUAUAUUUGAAUCUAUAGUGUUUCGUGUUGUUAUUCUUCUCUCUUUUUAAUCCAUUUUGAUUGUGAUAUCUGUUUUGGAUUAUUCUCUCUUUGUUCAGAAGUGACUAAGGCAGGAAAUCGGACUUGUCUUCAGACCCAACAGGAGCAUCAAUCAAAAUCGAAAUUGGGUCCUUGGAUGAUACGAAGGCAGCUUUUUCUUUGGCCAAUGAGAAUUACACUAUUACAAAUUCCGGCAGAUUCACCUUAAAUCGAGAGUUCAUUACAGCCAAUAAAAAUAGUUGCAAACCGAGACUUUUGGCUUGAAUAGAGUGAGGAAAUAGGAAAAGAAGAAGAAUAUAAACGAUCUAAAGAACAUAAGGAGAAAAGAGUGCUACUUGGUCAUGAGUUGCUGCCCCAGACAAACAGUUGGGUACUGUGAUGAGGUCAUUGGGGUAAAAUCAAACUGAAUCUGAAAUGAGGUUGACGCUAAUCAGAAUGGAACAUAUGUUUUUCCUGAGUUCUUGAAUUGGAUGGCAUGGAAAAUGAAGGUUCCAAAUUGUUCAACAAAUUUAUGUUCUGAUAAGAAGGCAACUGUAGUGAACUUGAUUGAUGGGCAUGGAAAGUCUGUAAGGCAAUUAUCAAAGAAGAUGUAAUAAGUAACUCAAGACCAAUGUCUUUACACUCAUACAGCUCAACAUGCUCAAGAUUCUUGUUGGAUCGGCAGCGGCUGGUUCUCUGGGUGGAUUCAAUGCACAUGCAAGCAACAUAGUCACAUGUAUCUACAUAGCAACUGGCCACGAUGCAGCCCAGAAUGUUGAGAGUUCUCAAUCAUCACCUUUGUCGAACCCAUCUCUGUGAACAUGCCUUCGAUUGAGUGCGCCCCAACUUGCAUCUCCGUCAGCCUGUCGCAACUUACUUGGCUUGAAGGGUGCGAACAAAGAUUCAGCAACAUGUCUGCUCUCAAAACUAGGCAGCUUUUUAAGAGCCACAUGAAGUACAAAAAAUCAAACAAAGAUAUCUCCAAAGCUACCUCUUAAGACAAGGCGGAAAUAAAAGGACAACAACCCACCGAUCAAAUGGAGUCAUUAAGAUGAGUAGAAUUUUUUUAGAGGCGUGGGACUAUUGUGGUUGAUGGAAUUUUUAUUAAAAAUUGUUUUAAAGGGUGGGAAAAGUUAGUUAAAACAGAAAAGGGUGGGAGCAUUCAUUCUAUUA
Long non-coding RNA from Macadamia integrifolia, 1218 nucleotides. RefSeq lists it as uncharacterized. NCBI's taxonomy places the organism in Eukaryota, Viridiplantae, Streptophyta, Magnoliopsida, Proteales, Proteaceae. The transcript has 5 exons. The record is from RefSeq and is a predicted model, not a curated record.